This 200-nucleotide ribosomal RNA is filed under the name Neurospora tetraspora. RNAcentral describes it as "partial small subunit ribosomal RNA". It matches the Rfam family "Eukaryotic small subunit ribosomal RNA", at positions 1591 to 1789 of the family's 1831-position model. The record is from RNAcentral. Lineage: Eukaryota; Fungi; Ascomycota; Sordariomycetes; Sordariales; Sordariaceae.
UAUUGCUCUUCAACGAGGAAUCCCUAGUAAGCGCAAGUCAUCAGCUUGCGUUGAUUACGUCCCUGCCCUUUGUACACACCGCCCGUCGCUACUACCGAUUGAAUGGCUCAGUGAGGCUUCCGGACUGGCCCAGGGAGGUCGGCAACGACACCCAGGGCCGGAAAGCUAUCCAAACUCGGUCAUUUAGAGGAAGUAAAAGU